UACAGCAGCCAUAUCACCCUGACACUCACAACUGGCAUUCCACUGAAGCUAAGCAGGUGUGAGUCUGGCCAGUACCUGGAUGGGAGACAGUACCUCCUGGGAAAAACUAAGGUUGCUGCUGGAA
This 124-nucleotide ribosomal RNA is filed under the name Lepisosteus oculatus (spotted gar). The record is from RNAcentral. Lineage: Eukaryota; Metazoa; Chordata; Actinopteri; Semionotiformes; Lepisosteidae.